Molecule: long non-coding RNA, 1106 nt
Organism: Seriola aureovittata
Lineage: Eukaryota; Metazoa; Chordata; Actinopteri; Carangiformes; Carangidae
Exons: 3
Source: RefSeq, a predicted model, not a curated record
UAAAAUGCCGAGACGCCACUCUGCUUUAAUUAGUGCGAUGGUAUUUGGAGAGACCUGGUCCUGAGACGUGACGGGAGACCAGGUGGACUUACAGCUGGAUUUAUAUCCUGAAUGGCUGCAGACAGUAGGAGUGAUGGAUUGUGGGUAGAAAGCUGCACUCAGCUGCUGACUGCAGCCUUUAAAUCACACACACAGGAGGUGAUGUGCAUUUGUUGGGGACUAUUUUCAGCGGCGGAUUAAUCCACACUUGGAGCUGUAGAUUACCACGGACACGGUGGAGCGCAGAGCCUCCGGGGCAACAGAGGCUGAAUGCUAAUGCCCUCCUCCAUCAGGGGCUGUUUAUUCACAGGCCUCAGAACGAGCCGCAUGGCGCCGGCGUUCAGGGUCGAGGACGAGACGACGAGACGCACCGGAAUAUAUUUACAGCAGCUCUUUGUAAUAACCACAGAGGAUUCACACAGACUAGUCUCAUAUUCAUCAGCACACAGCUUCAUGAGAUGCUUUACAGCCCUGAACGCCUCGUGCUGCCUUCCAGCGUCCAGGCGUGUCAUUGGUUAAGAGUUUCCUCCUGCAGCCAGACGCAGGCUGGAUGUGGGUCAGCUGUUUGAGCAGCUGGACUCAGCGAUGAGGAAUCUGCUGACUUCUGUAACAGACACUUUACAUGUUCAGUUGUUUGGCGUCGUGAUGAACGCCCCCCCCAUGUGUCUCUGUUUCUGCUUCGAGUUUAAUAAAAAUAUAUGUGAAGAUGAAAAAAAGCCUUUGUUGUGCCCCCCCCCGCUCAUUUCCUGUCUUCUCCCCACAGUCAAAUUAAAUGCCUCUAAAACUCUGACCCUCUGACGUGAGAUCAGCUGAUGGUUUCUUCAGAAAUGUUUCACUUCCCUCCUGUUCAACAGAGACUGUGUCUCAUCAGAUGCUGCAUUCAAAGACCGACGGAGUCUCUGCGACUGUCCUGCUCCAAACGCUCCUUCUUUUCCAACAGGCGGGUCUUCGUUGCACAGCGGUAACGAGGAUCUCACUUUUAAUGUCGGAGUUGAGAGGACGAGGUCCACGAAGACGACGUCCGUCACAGACCGAGAAGGCCCACCGCAAAUGAGGAGGAUUUUCGC